GCCCUUAGAGUUUGAUCAUGGCUCAGGACGAACGCUGGCGGCGCGCCUAACACAUGCAAGUCGAACGAGCGAGAGAGAGCUUGCUUUCUCAAGCGAGUGGCGAACGGGUGAGUAACGCGUGAGGAACCUGCCUCAAAGAGGGGGACAACAGUUGGAAACGACUGCUAAUACCGCAUAAGCCCACGGGUCGGCAUCGACCAGAGGGAAAAGGAGCAAUCCGCUUUGAGAUGGCCUCGCGUCCGAUUAGCUAGUUGGUGAGGUAAUGGCCCACCAAGGCAACGAUCGGUAGCCGGACUGAGAGGUUGAACGGCCACAUUGGGACUGAGACACGGCCCAGACUCCUACGGGAGGCAGCAGUGGGGAAUAUUGCACAAUGGGGGAAACCCUGAUGCAGCGACGCCGCGUGGAGGAAGAAGGUCUUCGGAUUGUAAACUCCUGUUGUUGAGGAAGAUAAUGACGGUACUCAACAAGGAAGUGACGGCUAACUACGUGCCAGCAGCCGCGGUAAAACGUAGGUCACAAGCGUUGUCCGGAAUUACUGGGUGUAAAGGGAGCGCAGGCGGGAAGACAAGUUGGAAGUGAAAUCUAUGGGCUCAACCCAUAAACUGCUUUCAAAACUGUUUUUCUUGAGUAGUGCAGAGGUAGGCGGAAUUCCCGGUGUAGCGGUGGAAUGCGUAGAUAUCGGGAGGAACACCAGUGGCGAAGGCGGCCUACUGGGCACCAACUGACGCUGAGGCUCGAAAGUGUGGGUAGCAAACAGGAUUAGAUACCCUGGUAGUCCACACCGUAAACGAUGAUUACUAGGUGUUGGAGGAUUGACCCCUUCAGUGCCGCAGUUAACACAAUAAGUAAU
This 853-nucleotide ribosomal RNA is filed under the name uncultured Bacillota bacterium. RNAcentral describes it as "bacterial SSU rRNA". It matches the Rfam family "Bacterial small subunit ribosomal RNA", at positions 1 to 868 of the family's 1533-position model. Lineage: Bacteria; Bacillati; Bacillota. The record is from RNAcentral.